GAUGAACGCUAGCGGCAGGCCUAACACAUGCAAGUCGAGGGGUAGCAGGAUUAAGCUUGCUUAAUUGCUGACGACCGGCGCACGGGUGCGUAACGCGUAUGCAACCUACCUUAUACUGGGGUAUAGCCCGGAGAAAUUCGGAUUAAUCCCCCAUAGUACUAAUGAAUCGCAUGGUUUAUUAGUUAAAGCAUUGCGGUAUAAGAUGGGCAUGCGUCCUAUUAGCUAGAUGGUGAGGUAACGGCUCACCAUGGCUACGAUAGGUAGGGGGCCUGGGAGGGUGGGCCCCCACACUGGUACUGAGACAAGGACCAGAAUCCUACGGGAGGCAGCAGUGAGGAAUAUUGGUCAAUGGGCGAAAGCCUGAACCAGCCAUGCCGCGUGCAGGAAGAAUGCCCUAUGGGUUGUAAACUGCUUUUAUUUGGGAAUAAACCUCUUUACGUGUAGAGAGCUGAAGGUACCAAAUGAAUAAGCACCGGCUAACUCCGUGCCAGCAGCCGCCGUAA
RNAcentral lists this ribosomal RNA (503 nucleotides) under uncultured bacterium. RNAcentral describes it as "partial 16S ribosomal RNA". It matches the Rfam family "Bacterial small subunit ribosomal RNA", at positions 28 to 523 of the family's 1533-position model. The record is from RNAcentral.